UGGGGAAUUUUGGACAAUGGGCGAAAGCCUGAUCCAGCCAUGCCGCGUGAGUGAAGAAGGCCUUCGGGUUGUAAAGCUCUUUUAGCCGGAAAGAAAGAGUUGCAAUGAAUAAUUGUGAUUUAUGACGGUACCGACAGAAAAAGCACCGGCUAACUACGUGCCAGCAGCCGCGGUAAUACGUAGGGUGCGAGCGUUAAUCGGAAUUACUGGGCGUAAAGGGUGCGCAGGCGGUCUUGCAAGUCAGAUGUGAAAGCCCCGGGCUUAACCUGGGAAUUGCGUUUGAAACUACAAGACUAGAGUGCGGCAGGGGGGGGUGGAAUUCCAUGUGUAGCAGUGAAAUGCGUAGAGAUGUGGAAGAACACCGAUGGCGAAGGCAGCUCCCUGGGUUGACACUGACGCUCAUGCACGAAAGCGUGGGGAGCAAACA
RNAcentral lists this ribosomal RNA (427 nucleotides) under uncultured beta proteobacterium. RNAcentral describes it as "bacterial SSU rRNA". It matches the Rfam family "Bacterial small subunit ribosomal RNA", at positions 355 to 774 of the family's 1533-position model. The record is from RNAcentral. Lineage: Bacteria; Pseudomonadati; Pseudomonadota; Betaproteobacteria.